This 76-nucleotide transfer RNA is filed under the name Candidatus Sulfopaludibacter sp. SbA4. RNAcentral's name for it is "tRNA-Lys". It matches the Rfam family "tRNA". Rfam says of the family: Transfer RNA (tRNA) molecules are approximately 80 nucleotides in length. Their secondary structure includes four short double-helical elements and three loops (D, anti-codon, and T loops). The record is from RNAcentral. Lineage: Bacteria; Pseudomonadati; Acidobacteriota; Terriglobia; Bryobacterales; Solibacteraceae.
GGGCGCGUAGCUCAACUGGCAGAGCAAGUGGCUCUUAACCACUAGGUUGAAGGUUCGAUUCCUUCCGCGCUCACCA